GGGGUUUUAACUCAGAUGGCUAGAGUAUUAGUUUUGCACACUAAAAGUCAAGAGUU
RNAcentral lists this transfer RNA (56 nucleotides) under Cryptomonas curvata. RNAcentral describes it as "tRNA-Ala". It matches the Rfam family "tRNA", at positions 1 to 53 of the family's 71-position model. From Rfam's summary of the family: Transfer RNA (tRNA) molecules are approximately 80 nucleotides in length. Their secondary structure includes four short double-helical elements and three loops (D, anti-codon, and T loops). The record is from RNAcentral. Lineage: Eukaryota; Cryptophyceae; Cryptomonadales; Cryptomonadaceae.